CACUCCUACGGGAGGCAGCAGUGGGGAAUAUUGGACAAUGGGCGCAAGCCUGAUCCAGCCAUGCCGCGUGAGUGAUGAAGGCCCUAGGGUUGUAAAGCUCUUUCACCGGUGAAGAUAAUGACGGUAACCGGAGAAGAAGCCCCGGCUAACUUCGUGCCAGCAGCCGCGGUAAUACGAAGGGGGCUAGCGUUGUUCGGAUUUACUGGGCGUAAAGCGCACGUAGGCGGACUAUUAAGUCAGGGGUGAAAUCCCGGGGCUCAACCCCGGAACUGCCUUUGAUACUGGUAGUCUUGAGUGCGAGAGAGGUGAGUGGAAUUCCGAGUGUAGAGGUGAAAUUCGUAGAUAUUCGGAGGAACACCAGUGGCGAAGGCGGCUCACUCGCUCGAUACUGACGCUGAGGUGCGAAAGCGUGGGGAGCAAACAGGAUUAGAUACCCCUGUAGUCCCAUGAU
Molecule: ribosomal RNA, 451 nt
Filed under: uncultured organism
Description: partial 16S ribosomal RNA
Rfam family: Bacterial small subunit ribosomal RNA
Source: RNAcentral